UAUACAUGCAGUCGAGCGGAUUAUCCUUCGGGAUAAGUUAGCGGCGGACGGGUGAGUAACACGUAGGUAACCUGCCUAUAAGACUGGGAUAACUAUCGGAAACGAUAGCUAAGACCGGAUAACUGGUUUUCUCGCAUGAGAGAAUUAUGAAACACGGAGCAAUCUGUGGCUUAUAGAUGGGCCUGCGGCGCAUUAGCUAGUUGGUGAGGUAACGGCUCACCAAGGCGACGAUGCGUAGCCGACCUGAGAGGGUGAACGGCCACACUGGGACUGAGACACGGCCCAGACUCCUACGGGAGGCAGCAGUAGGGAAUCUUCCGCAAUGGACGCAAGUCUGACGGAGCAACGCCGCGUGAGUGAUGAAGGUUUUCGGAUCGUAAAGCUCUGUUGCCCUAGACGAACAGCAAGGAGAGUAACUGCUCUUUGUGUGACGGUAUAGGAGAAGAAAGCCCCGGCUAACUACGUGCCAGCAGCCGCGGUAAUACGUAGGGGGCAAGCGUUGUCCGGAAUUAUUGGGCGUAAAGCGCGCGCAGGCGGUCAAUUAAGUUGGGUGUUUAAGCCCGGGGCUCAACCCCGGUUCGCAUCCAAAACUGGUCGACUUGAGUGUAGGAGAGGAAAGUGGAAUUCCACGUGUAGCGGUGAAAUGCGUAGAGAUGUGGAGGAACACCAGUGGCGAAGGCGACUUUCUGGCCUAUAACUGACGCUGAGGCGCGAAAGCGUGGGGAGCAAA
Molecule: ribosomal RNA, 730 nt
Filed under: uncultured bacterium
Lineage: Bacteria
Description: bacterial SSU rRNA
Rfam family: Bacterial small subunit ribosomal RNA
Source: RNAcentral